Molecule: ribosomal RNA, 555 nt
Filed under: Hapalopeza nilgirica
Lineage: Eukaryota; Metazoa; Arthropoda; Insecta; Mantodea; Gonypetidae
Description: partial 16S ribosomal RNA
Rfam family: Bacterial large subunit ribosomal RNA
Source: RNAcentral
UCGCCUGUUUAUCAAAAACAUCGUUUCUUGGGAGAAUAAGAAAUUUGACCUGCCCACUGAAAUUAAUUUUGAAGGGCCGCAGUAUUUUGACUGUGCAAAGGUAGCAUAAUCAUUAGUCUUUUAAUUGAGGGCUUGUAUGAAUGGUUAGACGAGGUGAAAUCUGUUUUAUGUUAAUUUUUGUUGAAUUUAGAUUUUAAGUAAAAAUACUUAAAUUAUAUUAAGGGACGAGAAGACCCUAUAGAGUUUAAUACUUUAAGUUUUAAUUGAGUUAAAUAUUAAUUUUUAGUUAAUAUGAUAUUUAUUUAAUUGGGGUGAUUAGAAGAUAAAAUAAACUCUUCUUUAUGUUAAAUAUUAUAUUUAGUAAUUUGAUCCAUUUAUUGUGAUUAUAAGAUUAAAUUACCUUAGGGAUAACAGCAUAAUUUUCUUUAAGAGUUCUUAUUGAAAAGAAAGAUUGUGACCUCGAUGUUGGAUUAAGAUUAUUAUUGGGUGUAGAUGUUCAAUUUUUAGGUCUGUUCGACCUUUAAAAUCUUACAUGAUCUGAGUUCAAACCGGAGA